UCCCUGGUGGCUCAGUGGUAAAGAAUCUGCCUGCCAAUACAGGAGACCCAGGUUUGAUCCCUGGUCUGGGAA
This is a transfer RNA of Ovis aries (sheep), 72 nucleotides long. It matches the Rfam family "tRNA". Rfam says of the family: Transfer RNA (tRNA) molecules are approximately 80 nucleotides in length. The record is from Rfam. NCBI's taxonomy places the organism in Eukaryota, Metazoa, Chordata, Mammalia, Artiodactyla, Bovidae.